Molecule: transfer RNA, 80 nt
Filed under: bacterium HR30
Lineage: Bacteria
Description: tRNA-Ser
Source: RNAcentral
GGAACUUUGGCGACGCGGCCGUGGCAUUUCUCGUUGGAACCGAGGAUGUCGCGGCUGUGUUCGAGGAGCAGGUGUUUCUC